This 405-nucleotide ribosomal RNA is filed under the name uncultured bacterium. Its description in RNAcentral is "bacterial SSU rRNA". It matches the Rfam family "Bacterial small subunit ribosomal RNA", at positions 29 to 429 of the family's 1533-position model. The record is from RNAcentral.
AGCGAACGUUAGCGGCGGGCUUAACACAUGCAAGUCGAGCGAGAAAGGGGCUUCGGCCCUGAGUACAGCGGCGGACGGGUGAAUAACACGUAGGUAACCUUCCUUCCAGCGGGGGACAACGGUCCGAAAGGACCGCUAAUACCGCAUACGUUCCCUGGGACCCUGGUCCCGGGGAGGAAAGCUCCGCAAGGGGCACUGGAUGAGGGGCCUGCGUAGCAUCAGCUAGUUGGUGGGGUAAUGGCCUACCAAGGCUAAGACGCUUAGCUGGUCUGAGAGGAUGAUCAGCCACACUGGGACUGAGACACGGCCCAGACUCCUACGGGAGGCAGCAGUGGGGAAUAUUGGACAAUGGGCGCAAGCCUGAUCCAGCCACGCCGCGUGAGUGAUGAAGGCCUCGGUCGUAAG